Doryrhamphus excisus (bluestripe pipefish) is the source of this 3420-nucleotide non-coding RNA. The record is from RefSeq and is a predicted model, not a curated record. NCBI's taxonomy places the organism in Eukaryota, Metazoa, Chordata, Actinopteri, Syngnathiformes, Syngnathidae.
CAUGCAAACUCCACACAGAGAUGGCCCAGUGUGGAAUUGAACUCAGGUCUCCUAGCUGUGAUGCCUGAGCACUAACCACUCCUCCGCCGUACAGAAGUGGGUCUGUAUUUACUGGUAAUUAAAAUCAGGAGUGCGGGAUGCUGACCUCUGGGUUCAAACUGGUGGUACUCUUUGGUCUUGAGCAGCGGGUGUGAGAUCCACAGCCAAGGGUGAUGCUUCCUCAGCUGGGGGAUCAGGUAGUGUGUGACGAAGCCCACCGUCCCGGCCAGCGCGUACAACACGAUGGUCACAAAGGGCUGCACAUCCACACAUGUGAGACGAUAUGGUUAGAAGAGAUAGACGGAUGAAAGGGUGAGAUCAUAAGUUGCACCUUUAGCGAAAGGAAGACGGUGCUAGCAGUGAUGGCGAAGGUCAGAAUGUAGGCCAGUGAGCACACGAUGGCAUCGGACAGCAGAAUCUCUUUCUGGAGAACGCAAAACAAAGAAAGCGGUGAUGAUUCAUGUUUUUGGCCUUACGUUGCGCUCAGCGUUGCCCACCAUGGAGUUCUGUAGCUUCUUUGGCAGAGGGUCUUCAAUGUCCGCGUCUUCCCCUUCGUCUUCCUCGCUCUCCGCCAACGUGGGCAUGACUUUUGACUUAAUCAGCGACCUAACGAGAGCCGAAAUGAAAUCAACCCGCAUGAUAUUUACUUACAAAUCGCGUCCACACGCUUACAGCAUGACAGAGGGGUCACUGCUCUGCCGGCUGAGGUGGUAGGAGAAGACUACCAGAAGGCCACAGAAGCUGGAGAACAAGGCAGGCGUGUGCUGCUCAUCCCAGGGCUCCUGCAACACAACAACAGGUAGAUGCUGAAGGUGUUGACUUGCGGGAAAAGGCCCACCAGGAAAGUGACGGGGAAGCAGUGAGUGAAACCUAAUUCAAAAACAACGUCAAUCAAAGUGAAGCACAUGUGACUGGAAGUUGGAAGUGUUUGUCCGGAUCAUGCGUCUCCGUACCCACGAGCAGGUUUUGCAAGAAGCGCAGGGCAUCGUGGCAACCGAUGGUGACGCCAUACAUGGUGGAGAUGGGCAGGUCCUUCCUCUGCAGGAGGUGCUCCAGCAUCCAGAUGAGAGAGCAGAAGAUGCAGAAGUAGGCCGCCCGGCUGUAGGCCACCAGCUGGUUGUGACCCUGGAGAUGAACAGAACUGGAAGACCCAGAAGUCUUUGAAGCAGCCGCCAUUGAGGAGCACAAAUCCAAGGAAGGAAACCAGGAAUGCCAUGAAAAUAGCGACCACAUUCUCCACCACAUUGUGAUUCCUGCACAAAUAACAGAUAUCACCAAUGCACGUAGGAUAUGGACACGAUAUGAAUACCUGGAAGAUCUCAGGGUGCGUCCUUCGUGGCCUAAGUCGAUGUGAAGGAAUAAUGCGUCGCUGGAAAGGACAGUCGGCAUGACCGCCCGCCAUGCUCUCCUGGCACUCCGAGUUGGAAGAUGUCGACAGAAGGUCACUGAACACACACACACACAAACUGACGUGAAUAUGUUAGUUACCAAAGGGCCAUUUUUACUAAAUAAAAUGUUGGCGCCCGUAUUGGUAUUUAAAGAGUGCUCAGCAGUACCACAUGUUGCCAGUGAUCAACUCGGCCCCCAGCGGCAAGUUGAGGGCUCGCUCCGCAUACAACUUCCGGGGCCUUUCUCCUGGGUAACAAAUAUGCAACUUUGAGAAGAAUGUCCGUUUGUUUUUGUUUUUUUUAAAAAGAGAACCAAGGGUUUUUUACAGUUUACAUCUUACGGUGCACAGUGUGGAAGGUGUACGCUUCUUCCUUGUUGGUAGCUUCCGGUCGACAGAUGACCUGCAGCAUGGAGCUUUCCGACUGAGACGUUUGGGAAGGCAAAGAGUCGUAAUCCGGAUCUUUUUCUCUGUCCGUCUGCGGACUGGCGGCAUAAACAAAGCAGGCAGUGUAAUGAUAAUGUUAAUGUUAAUGUUAAUGUUAAUGUUAAUGUUAAUGUUAAUGUUAAUGUUAAUGUUAAUGUUAAUGUUAAUGUUAAUGUUAAUGUUAAUGUUAAUGUUAAUGGUAAUGGUAAUGGUAAUGGUAAUGGUAAUGGUAAUGGUAAUGGUAAUGGUAAUGGUAAUGGUUUAAUUUCAUUUGAACAUGCAUCAGAUUACAAUUGAAUGCAUCACAUAAUCAGUUCACAGUUCCACAUGUCCAAAAGGAGUAGGAAGAAGCAAAGCUUAUUAAAUCCUACCCCUCCAUCUGGUACUUUUACAAUCAGUAACUGUUACAUUUGUUCACUUCCUGCUUUCCUAAUAUAAUAAAAACUUUUUUUAUUGUAUUUUAUUAUUUAGAAUAAUUCUUUAUAAUUUUUCCACAUUUUUUUAUAAUUUUUAUAAUUUAAUUUUUUUAAAUAAUUUUUAUAAAAAAACAUUUUGUCACGUACCGAAGUACAAGGUGAUAUGGCCAUACAAUGACAUAAUGGGUACCAUAGUAAGUGUCAAUAUAGUGAUAUAUAUAGCACAUCAUGACUGGUUCAAGACUCUUCAUCCUUGUAUUUAGCAAACAUCAACUGCUUGUAUUGUUUCUUGAAUUGGCUCAUCGUUGUGCAUUGUUUGAUUUCCUUACUCAAUCCAUUCCAUAGUUUGAUUCCACAUACUGAAAUGCUAUGGCUUUUUAACAUAGUCCUAGCAUAUAAGUGUUUCAAAUGUACUUCUUCCCUGAGAUCAUAUUUCUCCUCUCUUGUAGAGAAGUAUUAGAUGACAUUUUUAGCUAAUUGGUUAUUUUUAGCCUUAUGCAUUAUUUUAGCUGUUUGAAGAUGAACUAUAUCAGUAAGUUGUUUAGAAAUGUUGCUAAGGAAGUGUGUAUUGUGUAUGUGAAAGUGUUUGUUUGUACCUGUCUGGUGAGACGAUGGGAAUGUGUGUAGGCGGGACGGACCUCAGCGUGCCAGGAGCCAGACUAGUAGGCGGUUUGGGUCGCUCCGCUUUUGUGUCUGUGUUGGUGUCUUUGGGCUCAUCUGCUCUGGAAGCUGCACUCUGAUUCCCUGCAAUGCAUUUUGGGAGCAUUGUGUUUGUAGAUGGAAAAUAUACAAUAUGAUUCCUUGAUGUUAAAGACACAUGAGGUGCAGCAACUGACCCAUUUGUUGUUUUUCCGUCUCCGCCGAGGCUCCCGCGCCAUCUUUGAGCUCCGGCCCUUCCUCUUCCUUAGCGCUGGCUCCGCUACCUCUGCUGCUGAGCGACUCCAACAUGGAAACAAACUCCAAGAAGUUGGAUUCGUUGGGAAUCUGGCCCUCCUUUGCCUCCAGGUCUGACUUGGAGGUGGUCAUGGUUGACUGGCAGAAAGACAGACAUCUUAGCUUUGUGUUAUACACUAACGCUCAAAAGUUUGGGAUCACUUGCAAAUGUCUUUGUUUUCCAUUAAUUCAUUCAUUUUCUACCGUUUUUCCUCACGG